This is a long non-coding RNA of Sapajus apella (tufted capuchin), 103 nucleotides long. RefSeq lists it as uncharacterized. The transcript has 2 exons. Lineage: Eukaryota; Metazoa; Chordata; Mammalia; Primates; Cebidae. The record is from RefSeq and is a predicted model, not a curated record.
GGCUCACGCCUGUAAUCCCAGCACUUUGGGAGGCUGAGGUGGGAGGAUCACUUGAGGCCAGGAGUUGAGACCAGCCUAGGCAAUUUAGUGAGAGCCCAUCUUG